Molecule: ribosomal RNA, 477 nt
Filed under: uncultured bacterium
Lineage: Bacteria
Description: partial 16S ribosomal RNA
Rfam family: Bacterial small subunit ribosomal RNA
Source: RNAcentral
GACGAACGCUGGCGGCGUGCUUAACACAUGCAAGUCGAACGUGAUUUUUGUGGAAAUUCUUUCGGGAAUGGAAAUGAAAUGAAAGUGGCGAACGGGUGAGUAACACGUGAGCAACCUACCUUACACAGGGGGAUGCCGUUGGAAACGACGAUUAAUACCGCAUGAGACCACAGAAUCGCAUGAUAUAGGGGUCAAAGAUUUAUCGGUGUAAGAAGGGCUCGCGUCUGAUUAGCUAGUUGGAAGGGUAAAGGCCUACCAAGGCGACGAUCAGUAGCCGGUCUGAGAGGAUGAACGGCCACAUUGGAACUGAGACACGGUCCAAACUCCUACGGGAGGCAGCAGUGGGGAAUAUUGCACAAUGGGGGGAACCCUGAUGCAGCGACGCCGCGUGAGCGAAGAAGGUUUUCGAAUCGUAAAGCUCUGUCCUAUGAGAAGAUAAUGACGGUAUCAUAGGAGGAAGCCCCGGCUAAAUACGUG